Molecule: long non-coding RNA, 157 nt
Organism: Etheostoma cragini (Arkansas darter)
Lineage: Eukaryota; Metazoa; Chordata; Actinopteri; Perciformes; Percidae
Exons: 3
Source: RefSeq, a predicted model, not a curated record
GCCAAUUGGAAGCCAGUGAAGAGAGCGGAGGAGCAGUGUAGUGUGUGAGAACUUGGGGAGGUUGAAGACAAGUCCAGCUGCUGCGUUCUGAAUCAGCUGCAGGGGCCGGAUGGAACAUGCAGAAAGGCCAAUCAGGAGGAAGUUGCGGUAGUCUAGA